Non-coding RNA from Asterophora parasitica, 86 nucleotides. The record is from the annotation of a GenBank genome assembly. NCBI's taxonomy places the organism in Eukaryota, Fungi, Basidiomycota, Agaricomycetes, Agaricales, Lyophyllaceae.
GUCUCGAUAGCUAAGUGGUAUAGCAUGCGAUUGCAGUUGUGUGUCAACAUAUCGCAGGGUCCGGUGUUCGAACCACCGUCGGGACU